RNAcentral lists this ribosomal RNA (504 nucleotides) under uncultured bacterium. RNAcentral describes it as "partial 16S ribosomal RNA". It matches the Rfam family "Bacterial small subunit ribosomal RNA", at positions 30 to 523 of the family's 1533-position model. The record is from RNAcentral.
AUUGAACGCUGGCGGCGUGCCUUACACAUGCAAGUCGAACGGCAGCAUGGAGAGCUUGCUCUCUGAUGGCGAGUGGCGAACGGGUGAGUAAAGCAUCGGAACGUACCGUGUAGUGGGGGAUAACGUAGCGAAAGUUACGCUAAUACCGCAUACGCACUGAGGUGGAAAGCAGGGGAUCGUAAGACCUUGCGCUAUACGAGCGGCCGAUGUCAGAUUAGCUAGUUGGUAGGGUAAAGGCCUACCAAGGCGACGAUCUGUAGCGGGUCUGAGAGGAUGAUCCGCCACACUGGGACUGAGACACGGCCCAGACUCCUACGGGAGGCAGCAGUGGGGAAUUUUGGACAAUGGGGGCAACCCUGAUCCAGCCAUGCCGCGUGAGUGAAGAAGGCCUUCGGGUUGUAAAGCUCUUUCGGCCGGGAAGAAAUCGCACAGGCUAAUACCCUGUGUGGAUGACGGUACCGGCAUAAGAAGCACCGGCUAACUACGUGCCAGCCGCCGCCGUAA